This 497-nucleotide ribosomal RNA is filed under the name uncultured bacterium. RNAcentral's name for it is "partial 16S ribosomal RNA". It matches the Rfam family "Bacterial small subunit ribosomal RNA", at positions 28 to 507 of the family's 1533-position model. The record is from RNAcentral.
GAUGAACGCUGGCGGCGUGCCUAACACAUGCCAGUCGAGCGAACAGACGCGGCGCUUGCUCCUUUGUCGUUAGCCGCGGACGGGUGUGUAACACGUGGAUACCCUCCCUAUAAGACUGGGAUAACUUCGGGAAACCGGCGCUAAUACCGUAUAAUAUAUUGAACCGCAUGGUUCAAUAGUGAGAGACGGUGUUGCUGUCACGUAUAGAUGCAUCUGCGCCGCAUUAGCUAGUUGGUACGGUAACGGCUUACCAAGGCAACCAGGCGUAGCCGAGGUACGAGGGUGAUAGGCCACAUUGGAGCUGAGACACGGUCCAGACUCCUACGGGAGGCAGCAGAAGGGAAUCUGACGCAACGGGCGAAAGUCUGACGGAGCAACGCCGCGUGAGUGAUGAAGGCCUUCGGAGCGUAAAGCUCUGUUACUAGGGGAGAACCAAUGUGGCAGUAAAUGAAGCCGGCUUGACGGUAACGAGUAAGAAAGCACCGGCUAACUACGUG